UGGAAUUUUAGGCUAAGGAACUGGGCUUUACAAUAGCAGAUGCCAGGGCUAUUUGGAGCAGACCUGAGGGUGUGGUUACGUGAAUGAAUGGCAAAGUCAACGUGCUUUGAAAGAGGAGGUCAGAGCACUUACAACGGCGCCAGCCUCCUUGGUGUGGCGGCUCCUCCAGCAGGCGCCAACUUCCACACACGCCUAUGGUCGGCCACCGCAGUGAAGAGACACAGAAGCUGAGGGUGGGCCAUGCACACAUGAGAUGGCCCUUCCGAGCCGGUCAAGGACAGCGUGAAAGCAGCCAAGCCAGCCGGCAGAUUCUCUUUCUUCUUGAGAAGUUUGCUCCCAUCUUAAAAUAUCUUGUUACAGCAAGCAAGUCCACCAAGAAAGACACUCACAAGAAAAUAAACAAACAAAAAAAAGC
This 415-nucleotide long non-coding RNA is filed under the name Chinchilla lanigera (long-tailed chinchilla). RNAcentral's name for it is "lncRNA (ENSCLAG00000023976.1)". Lineage: Eukaryota; Metazoa; Chordata; Mammalia; Rodentia; Chinchillidae. The record is from RNAcentral.